Molecule: ribosomal RNA, 253 nt
Filed under: uncultured bacterium
Lineage: Bacteria
Description: partial 16S ribosomal RNA
Rfam family: Bacterial small subunit ribosomal RNA
Source: RNAcentral
UACGUAGGGGGCAAGCGUUAUCCGGAUUUACUGGGCGUAAAGGGUGCGUAGGCGGCCGAUUAAGUCAGAUGUGAAAUACCAUGGCUCAACCAUGGGGGUGCAUUUGAAACUGGUUGGCUUGAGUGCAGGAGAGGAAAGCGGAAUUCCUAGUGUAGCGGUGAAAUGCGUAGAGAUUAGGAGGAACACCAGUGGCGAAGGCGGCUUUCUGGACUGUAACUGACGCUGAGGCACGAAAGCGUGGGGAGCAAACAGG